This 427-nucleotide ribosomal RNA is filed under the name uncultured bacterium. RNAcentral's name for it is "bacterial SSU rRNA". It matches the Rfam family "Bacterial small subunit ribosomal RNA", at positions 29 to 487 of the family's 1533-position model. The record is from RNAcentral.
AACGAACGCUGGCGGCAGGCCUAACACAUGCAAGUCGAACGCCGUAGCAAUACGGAGUGGCAGACGGGUGAGUAACGCGUGGGAACAUACCCCUCGGUUCGGAAUAACUUAGGGAAACUUGAGCUAAUACCGGAUACGUCCGAGGUUUUAACCGGCCUCGGAGAAAGAUUUAUCGCCGGAGGAUUGGCCCGCGUCUGAUUAGCUUGUUGGUGAGGUAAUGGCUCACCAAGGCGACGAUCAGUAGCUGGUCUGAGAGGAUGAUCAGCCACAUUGGGACUGAGACACGGCCCAAACUCCUACGGGAGGCAGCAGUGGGGAAUAUUGGACAAUGGGCGAAAGCCUGAUCCAGCCAUGCCGCGUGAGUGAUGAAGGCCUUAGGGUUGUAAAGCUCUUUUACCCGGGAAGAUAAUGACGGUACCGGGAGAAU